GAUGAACGCUGGCGGCGUGCUUAACACAUGCAAGUCGAACGGAAAGGCUCCUGCUUGCAGGGGUACUCGAGUGGCGAACGGGUGAGUAACACGUGGGUGAUCUGCCCUGCACUUCGGGAUAAGCCUGGGAAACUGGGUCUAAUACCGGAUAGGACCACAUUUUGGAUGGUGUGGUGGAAAGUUUUUCGGUGUGGGAUGAGCUCGCGGCCUAUCAGCUUGUUGGUGGGGUAAUGGCCUACCAAGGCGUCGACGGGUAGCCGGCCUGAGAGGGUGUACGGCCACAGUGGGACUGAGAUACGGCCCAGACUCCUACGGGAGGCAGCAGUGGGGAAUAUUGCACAAUGGGCGCAAGCCUGAUGCAGCGACGCCGCGUGGGGGAUGACGGCCUUCGGGUUGUAAACUCCUUUCGCUAGGGACGAAGCGUUUUUGUGACGGUACCUGGAGAAGAAGCACCGGCUAACUACGUG
Molecule: ribosomal RNA, 467 nt
Filed under: uncultured bacterium
Lineage: Bacteria
Description: partial 16S ribosomal RNA
Rfam family: Bacterial small subunit ribosomal RNA
Source: RNAcentral